RNAcentral lists this ribosomal RNA (441 nucleotides) under uncultured bacterium. Its description in RNAcentral is "partial 16S ribosomal RNA". It matches the Rfam family "Bacterial small subunit ribosomal RNA", at positions 338 to 795 of the family's 1533-position model. The record is from RNAcentral.
CCUACGGGUGGCAGCAGUGGGGGAUAUUGCACAAUGGGGGGAACCCUGAUGCAGCGACGCCGCGUGGGUGAAGGAGUGCUUCGGCAUGUAAAGCCCUAUCGGCAGGGAAGAAGCAAGACGGUACCUGACUAAGAAGCCCCGGCUAACUACGUGCCAGCAGCCGCGGUAAUACGUAGGGGGCGAGCGUUAUCCGGAUUCACUGGGUGUAAAGGGAGCGUAGACGGCCAAGCAAGCCAGGGGUGAAAGCCCGGGGCCCAACCCCGGGACUGCCCUUGAAACUGCAUGGCUGGAGUGCGGGAGGGGCAGGCGGAAUGCCUGGUGUAGCGGUGAAAUGCGUAGAUAUCAGGAGGAACACCGGCGGCGAAGGCGGCCUGCUGGACCGCGACUGACGUUGAGGCCCGAAAGCGUGGGGAGCAAACAGGAUUAGAUACCCGAGUAGUC